UGUUGAAAUCGAAAGGAUUGUGGACUGGACAAGCCAAGUUUACUUCGAUUCUCUUUUUCUCAGAUACCAAAUUCAUGGAGAAGUUUGUUCUCCCACACAAAGAAAAUGUUCCUGAGCUGCUUGAUAUUUUGAGAUUUGCUGGCACCUGUAAAGGAAAUGAUACCUUGCAUUUGGCAUCGGAGGAUGAGGAAGGGCUUAGCUGAUGGUCUAAUUUGUGACGACGAAGGUAGAUUAUUUCCCUAAUUUGACAUUUGGGUAUUUUCUGCAAAGGGCUUAUCUAAAGGUCCAUUGUGGUGUGGGAAUUUUCUUUUAUGACAAGCUAGCUAGAUUAACAUUGAUUAUAAAUCAAAUUUGUUCUGUCUUACUGAUUGCUAGCUUAAAUUAUUUUCUGAUUGUCUUUGGCAUAGUAUUGUUGCUUUGUACGUUAGCUGCAUGUUUUAAAAAUUCUACAUAACAGUCCAACUGAGAUUACCUUUGGAUCUAUCGAAGGGACUUUUGGCUUUUGUCCAAAUUAAUCCAAUUCCAGAUUGGUUUUUGUUUGGGUUAGUCUUGAAGAGUCAUAUUUCAGAUCAAGUUAUGCUGUAAGUAUAUACAAAAUAUCACCAAAGAUCACAGGAAGUUGCUGCGUAGUAAUUGCUCUAACGAUUUAAGUGGCUGAAAAACACUUAAACUUCUUUGCAAACUUAUGUAUUUAUGUACUAAUUGGAUUAUUCAAAUUUGAUUGAUUCAUUGUAAUAUUAGUAUGCAGUGGCUUCAAUGGAAUUUGAAAGACCAGUUGCACUGGGUUGAUCAGGAGUCACCAGCUCUUCUGAAACGUCUUCAACCUCCUUUGGAAUUGCUAAAGCUUUUCUCGCAUCAACAAACUCUUGCAUGCCUCCAUAGGCUUCUGCUCGUCCACUCUUUGUGAUUCCAGGUGCAGAUCUCUUCAUUCUUGGAUUUGGUGGAUGCAAUUUCUCAUCAUCAUAGCUGAAGCUUUUGCUCCACUUGAAAGCCUUCAGAAGGCUGCACAACUAAAUUUCUCUAACAUCUUUAUCGAACUAAUUGCCUUGAGUUAGUCAAUUCGCUGGUUCCUUAAGAAUAUUUUGGAUGUCAUUUUAUUUCUUAUUUCAAGUCUUCAUGUUGUCGAUGUGGUCCAUGUUUCCCGCAUCAUGAACCGCGUGGCCCAUUGUCUAGUCAAUCUUGGAAGGGCUGUAAAUUCUCUGUUUUUUUGGGUCUUGUAAUGAUAGAUCAGUCUAUCUCAGUAUCUAAUCCGCUUUAAUCUUUAUUGAAAUUUCUCCUUUUUUGGUGAAAAAAAACUCUAGCAUGCAAACUAACAUGUAAGCUCAGAAGGUUUAAAAGUGACAAUUAAAUGUUUAUUGCAAGAUUCUGUAAUUGGCUUUAGUUCUUGUUGUAGAGUUUAUGAUCAUUUACAUCACUAGUAUUUCUGAUUUUUAUGCACGCUAUCUUGACCCGUUCUCAACCAGUAUUUUUUUGGCUAUCGAUGUCUUUGUGCAUGUAUUCAGUAUCUCAUUUCAGAUUGGGUCAUAAGAUCAUCAUCAUCUUUAUCAAUGCGUGAAAUGUGUUUUGGAUUUUGAUAUCAUUUGUUCCAUCUUUAUUCUUUAUUCUUUGUCUUGGAUAAUAAUGUCUCAAAUCCAUAAUUUUGAUAUAAAUAAUUUAUCCAUAAUUUUGAUAUAAAUAAUUUAUUACAGUAAUUUUUAUUCCUAUGCAUAGUGAAGGACAACUGUUUGAAUUAUGAUACCCGGAUGCUCUCCUUUAUCUAGUCACAAUGCUCGGCUCCUCUCUUUUUCUUUUAUUUUAUCGUCGAUUGAUUAAAAUUAUGUUAGGUGUUGUAUUGUAUCUGACCAUAUAAAUUGAAUUAUGUUGAAUCAUGAGUUGAAUUAUACUUAACUAUAUGAAUUACGUAAUACUUAGUCACAUUAGUUAGGUUGUGAUUGACUACAUAGAUUGAUUUGAUAAAUCAACUUAUAUUAAAUCAAUAAUUUAACUCAUAUUAUUAAAUUAUAUCAUAAUAUUUUUUAAAAAUACUUUAAAAUAAUAACUAACCUUAAAUCUAUUCUUUUUCAAGAAUUAACUAAUUUAGAUUGAUAAUUUUAAAUUUAAAACUAAUUAAAUUGUACAAAUUCAUACAAAAUUUUUUUAAACAUAAAUAUGUCUAAUUAAAUAAAUUAAAAUUAUUAUUAAAUUAACUAAUUAUUUUAACAUCAUAAUUUCAUAAUCAUUAUUUAUUAAUCAUAAUAUUUUAAAAUUAAAACAUUAUUUUGCAUCAUAUUAAUUAAAAAAAUUCUACUAUUAAAUAUUUUAAAAUAUAAAUAAAAAUGAUAAUAAAGAAAAUAAAGAAUCCUACUCGUCCUUGCAAUCCUAUCAUCAAAAUUUUUUUUUUCUUAAUCCUUCGUCCAACUUCUAAGAGAGGGGAAUUAACGAGGAAUAGUAGAAGACGAGAGGGGAAUUAACGAGGAAUAGUAGAAGACGAACUCUUCUCGAUAGAUAAAUAAUAUUUUUUAUUUUACUUUCAUACAAAAAUGGAUUGUAAUAUUAAUUUUACAUUGUCCACACACAAAAAUAAAAUUUAAAAUAUUUGCUUUUUAAGAAUCAUAUCAGAAAAUAAAUCAAUUAAUAAUUUAAUAAAUCAAUAAAAUUCUUAAUUUGUUCAAAUAAUAAAAAAUAAUUUUAAUUAGUUUAAAGUAUAUUAAAUAAAUAAAUUAAAAUAAUAAUAUAUGAUUUAUAAUAAUUAAUUGAUGUUAAGAAAAAAAAAUCUAUGAUUACAAAAAUCUUGAAGUUUCAGAACACCUAACAUCUAUAAAAGGGAAGAGUUGAGCUGAACCAUUACGAGAAAAAAAAAAAAGUUCAAAAGUGGUGCAGAAACAAACAUAAUAGCCACGCAAAAAUGGUUACUGGUUCAAGUAAAAGACAUGUGAUUAAGUAAUUUAACUUUUAAUCCACAACGCCAAGCUGAAUCACUACAUAAUAAGAGUCGCCAGAAAUCCACAGUUGUUAAAAUAAGUUGCUAUAAAAAAUAAAAAUCAGACACGAAGUAACUUCAGCUUAUCAAAAAGAAAAAUGAAAAUGAGAAGCAGAGAGGUCAUCUUUUCCCCCUCGACAUCAACUCCAUACGUUGCAGGGAACUCCAAGAUAUCAUUGUCUAAAUAUCAUCGAUAAAUAUCACACAUAUAUAUAUAUAUAUAUAUAUAUAUAUAUAUAUAUAUAUAUAUAUAUAUAUAUAUAUAUAUAUAUAAUUUAUUUAUACAUCAAAAUAAAAGUUAAAAAUAAUCAUAGGUUUUAUUCAUAAACAUAAUAAUAUAAAUUCAAAAAUAAACAUUCAACUUCAAGUCUAAGGUUAGCUUUCAAAAAAAUAAUAACCGAAAAAAUUUUCAGAGUCCCCUUCAAUCUAUUUAAAUUUAUUAGAUUAGAUUUCGCUCAAUCAAACACAAAUGAGAUAAAUUAAAGAUAAUAAGUUAGAUUGCAUAGUAAUAUAAUAGGUUAAGUUAGUCAAUAUGCUAAUCAUUUGCAUUGUACAUGAUCAUGCAUAUAACAUACUAAGCUACGUAGUAUAUGAACUAAUCAUGUAUACUACAUAUGAUUAUCCAUGUUGAGCCGGAUUAAGUGAUUAACCAAGCUUAGCAUGUUCGUUGGGUCUAGUCUACGGGUUGUAGUUUAGCUUAUGAGUAGAGCCUGACUUACUAAAUAGAUUUUAACUUAAAUCAUAAUUAUUUUUUUAAUUUUAAAUUAUAGCAUCAUCAAAUUAUAAUCAAAACACCAAACUAUUAUAAUUGAGUAAUUAAAAUAUAAUAAAUAUUAAUAGAUUAAAAAUAUAAAUUUACAUUAAAGGGAAAAUAAUAUUUUUACUCAACUAUUGUACAAAUCUAAUAGAAAUUGAAUAUUACAACUAGUAUGUUGCAAGAUAAAAAUUUUAAAAAUGAUUGUAGUAUGAAUAAUUAUAAUAUAUUAAAUCCAAAAAAAUUUAAAUAUUUGGAUGAAUAUAAUAAAAUUUUAGAAACUAUAUAUAGCAUGAAUAAAAAAAUAAUAAUAAUAAUAAUAUUUUUUAAAAAAAUAUACAAGCGCCUACCUCUCUUAUUCUGAUUUGAAGUAGUGAAAAACUAAGAAAAGGAAAUCGCACCUAUUAAAUAAAAAGAGUCGAGCCUUCCAAGGUAAUAAAUAUUUUAAUUGUUAUAUUUAUUUAAUUAAUAAAAAUAAUAUCACUUAACUUAAAAUAUUGAAUAUUUAUUUUAUAAUUUUUAUUCAUAAGAAAAGAAAGUAAGUAAUUGUACUUAAACUGAAUGAUUUAAGGACAGAUGAAACCUGUCAAAUUAGUAUUUUAAGAUCAUUUUAUCCAUAUUUUUUAUAUAAAUAAUUUAUUCCUAUAAUUUUAUAUUUCUUGUGCAUACCGAAGGUUAUACGCUCUUCGUAUAAGGAGCGUGGUUGUAAUUAGGGUGCCGCUGCGGCUGCUCUCUUGUCCCACAAUGGCUGCUGCUCCGCUCCGCUCCGUACUCCGCCGCAAUGGCCUUCUGCCCUUGUUCGAAACCUGCCGCCUUCGAGAUCUCCUCUUCUUCUCCUCCUCUGUCGACCCUGCCGCCGCCGUAGGCGGCACCAUAUCUCCAGAUCCCCACUUCAUGGUGGAAUACCUCGUGAACUCCUGCGGGUUCUCCCCCUCCGAGGCAGCCAUGUUCUCUGAACCCCUUGCGCACCUCCGAUCCACCGAGAAACCCGACGCCGUCCUUAACUUCAUGAGAUCUCAGGGCUUCGAUGGCGCCGGUAUCAGGAAGGUGAUAUCUGGGGAUCCCAGAUACUUAUGCUGCAACGUGGAGAAGAACCUCACCCCGAAGUUUCAGUUCUUACGCGAUUUGGGCCUAUCGGAGUCGGACAUCGUCGAUGUCAUCCGGAAUAACGAUGACAUCCUCUGCCGCAACGUUCACCGUUCCUUCGGCCCCAAAUUGGAGAUAUGGGAAAGUCUCUUGGGAUCGAGAGAACUCGUUCUCAAGCAUCUCAAGAAGUCAGGAUGGUUUUUCUUCUCCAGCGUCGAGAAGACAUUGCAUCCUAACCUAAAGUUCUUGAGGGAUGAGUGCGGCAUUCCUGAAGAAAGGUUCUCUCUCGUCUUGAGAAGUCACCCACAAUUAAUCUCACAGAAACCAAAGUCACUCCGAGCUUUGGUGGCGAGAGCCGAUGAGCUGGGGAUGCCACGGCAAUCUCGGAUGUUCAUGUGGACACUUGUUGUUUUCCACAACGUAAGCCAAGAAAGGUUCGAGGCCAAGGUCGAGCUCAUGAGGAGCUUCGGGUGGUCGGAGUCGGAGUUUUCUUCUGCAGUCAGGAAAGCACCCACCUUCUUACGCGUGUCCGUCGACAUGAUGCGCAGAAAAAUGGAAUUUUUUAUCAAUAUAGUCGGGUACACCCCUUCCUUCAUCGCCUCCCAACCAACUAUCUUGCUAUAUGGUCUGCAGAAGAGGGUAAUUCCUCGGUUUCGUGUUUUGGAGAUGUUGAUUACGAAAGGCUUGGGGACUCGACUAGGCAAGUUUUCGUACUAUGUGAAAUUAUCAAAUACAAAAUUCCGGGAGAAGAUUGUUCUACCUUACAAAGAAAAGGUUCCUGAGCUUCUUGAUAUUUUGAGAGCAGGUGAGUGUGAAGGGAAAUGAGCCCUUUUAUUUGGUAUCAGAGGAGGAUGAGAAGGGCUUAGCUGAUGGUCUAACUCACAUUUGAAUUUCUCAACAGGAGCUGAGCAGUGAUUCGGCACCUUUUCCCUUGACAACAAGCUGUCUUACAUCGACCACCAGCCUUGGCUACUGAGGUGCAGUCCAGUGAAAGAAUUAUUCCUUUGGUGCCAUAUGGUGGUAAUGUUGUAAUUGGAAGGUCUACGCAUUGCCCAACACAAAAUGUCUUCCAGUUUUACUCAUUAAGGUUCAUGGAAAAGUCUGUUCUUUGUUGCAAAGCAGAAGUCCCUGGCCUGUUUGAAAUCUCUGAUCGAUGAAGGUAGAUUAUUCCCCUAGUUUGAGAUUUUGGAAAUAGAAUGCAAAUGGCUUCUCUAAAAGUCUAUUGAGGUGUGAGAUUCUUCUCAUGUGACAAGCUAGUUUAGCAUUGAUUAUAAACCAACUUUGUUUUGUCUUACUAAAUGUCUGCUCGAAUCAUCUUCUGAUUGUGUUUGGCACACUAUUGUUGGUUUGUAUGUGAACUGCAGGUUAUUGGUUGUUGGGGGAGUGUGAAAGAGCCAUGUUUCAGAUCAAAUUAUGCAGUAUGUAUACAUCACCAAAGAUGACGAGAAGUUACAUGGAGUAGUGGUUGCUCUGAUGAUUUUAGUAGCUGAAAAAAAUUUAAACCCCAAAGUGUUGUUUCUAUAAUUUGUUUUAAGCGAGUUUUCACGGAAUUAUGGAUUUGGAUGUCUUCAAGGAUGUGUUAUCUUGUCAGUUGAGCUUCUAUGCAAACUUGUUCGUGUGCUAAUUGGAAGAUUCCAUUUAUGUUUCUGUUAUGUAUUGUGAUAUUUGCAUGCAGGGAGGGGCCUCAAUGGAAUUUGUAAGACCGGUUGCUGUGUUGAUCAGGAUUACCAUUGGUUUGGCGCUCAUCCAUUUCGUUUGCAUGUAAGAAUGUGUCACUUUGCUUGCAGGUUGAAUGGUCUUCAGAGAAUCAAAACUUGAGUAUGCUAUCCUGAAAAGUCUUCAGCCUCAUUCGAAUUGUUGCUCAGGCAUUUCCUGCAUCAACGAACUCUAACAUGCAAACUAAUUUAUAUACCUAAACAUUUUAAAAUUGACAACAAAAUGUGUAUUUCAAAUUUCUGUAAUUGUCUUUGGGAUUUGUUUUAGAGUUAAUCGACGAUUACAAAAUUCACGACUUUAUUGGAUGAUCUGCAUGAUUAUUAAACCAAUAAAUUAUUUGUAGUCAUUCAAACUCACCUAACAAGUACAAGAUUCUUUGAAUGUUGAUAGUUGUAAUUUGUUCACUAUGUAAACAAACAGAGAAAGACGAAUUCCGUAUAAGCUACAAGUUCCUAAAGUUUUAGAACACCUAACAUCUAUAAAAGGGAAGAGUUCGGCUGAAGAAUUGUGAAAACGAUGUAGAAGUAUAAUAUGAAAAUGCACCAAGGAAAAAGAAAACAUAAUCCAUCAAGACAAAUUUACGAUCAUCAUAGGAAAGAGGCUCAAAUGGUAAAAUCAAAUAAGAGAGACCAAUGUUUACGAUAUCAUGGUUGGACCUAUCGGAGUCGGAUAUUGUCAAUGUCAUCCUGAAGAACAAUGCCAUCCUCCGUCUCAAUGUUUACAGUUCCUUCGUCCCCAAAUUGGAGAUGUCGGAAAGUCUUUUGGGAUCGAGAGAGCUUGUUCUCAAGCAUCUCAAAAAGACAAGACGAUUUUUCCUUUGAUCACAUGGAAUGAAUUAGAGCUGAAUUAUACCUGAUCUUAUAAGCUAAGUCAAAACUAUUAACUGAGUUAAACAAUGCUUGACCACAUACGAUGAGUUAUGUUUAACCACAUAAGUUAGAUCAUACUUGGUCAUAUGGAUGCAGUAAUUUUGUAACUAUAUAUAUUAUAUUAUAUUUGACUAUGUGGAUUAUGUUAUGUUGAAUCAUACUUGACAAUAUAGUCCAAGUAAUACUUAGAUUGUAUCACCACAGGCUAGUUUGGUCAAUCAACUUAAUUAAGGUGAAAUCUCAAAUUUGACUCGUACUUGUUAAAUUAGAUUUUAAUAUUUUAAAAAUAUUUUAAAAUAUUAUAAAAUAAUAAUUAAUCAUAAAUCUAUUAUUUUUCAUGAAUUAACUAAUUUAGAUUUAUGUCUCAAAUUUAAAAGUAAUUAAAUCAUAAAAAAUCAUACUUAAUUGUUUAAAACAUAAAUAUACUUUCGAUGAUCAUUAUUUAUUAAUCAUAAAAUUAUUAGAUUAAAAUAUUAAUUUUAUAACAUAUAAAUUAAAAUAAUUAUAAUAUUAAAUAAUUUUAAAAAUAUAAAAAAAUAAUAAUAAUAACAAAUCUACUCUCCUCAUGAACAUUUCUUGUAAGAGAGCUAGUAAUUGAGGAAAGAUGAGCUUGAGCUCUCCAUAAAAGAUAAAUAAUAAUUUUAAUAAUAUUCUUAAUCAUAUUAUAUAAAUGAAAAAAAAAUACUAAUUUAAAUAAAGUAAUACAUGUUUUAAAGUAAUUAAUUGAUGUUAGAGAAUUAUCGAUGGUUACAAAAGUCACGACUUUAUUGAAUGAUCUACAUGAUUAUUAAACUAAUAAAUUAUUUGUAGUCAAUCAAGCUCACCUAGCAAUUACAAGAUCUUUUGAAUGUUGAUAGUUACAAUUUGUUCACUAUGUAAUCAAACAGAGAAGACAACAUCCAGAAUAAGCUACAAGUUCCUGAAGUUUCAGAACACCUAACAUCAAUAAAAAGGGAAGAGUUGAGAUGAAGCAUUAUGAAAACGAUGUAAAAGUAUAACAUGAAAAUGCACCAAGGAAUAUAUAUAUAUAUAUAUAUAUAUAUAAUUCAUCAAGAAAAAUUCAGAUCAUAAAGGGAUUUCACAUGCAUGCAUGGCAAACAAAAAGGUUCGAUUGUGGUUUUAAAAACAUAAUUGCCAUGCAAAAAGAAAAAUUAAUGGUUGAAGUAAGACGUAUCCUAAUAAAAGUAAUUUAAUUUUUAACCCACGAUACCAAGCCGAAUCACUACACAACAGGAGUAAUAAAAAAUCCACAGUUAUUGAAAUGUGUUACUUAAAAACUCGGAGUAACUUAUAGUAACCAUUUCCCCAUAAACCAAAAAUUUAUUUCCACUAUAUUUUUCCUUGACUAAGAAUAACAUCAUUAAACUUCUACCAUCGAUCGAUAACAAUGACAAACUUGCCAUCCGUAGGAGAGCAAAGGUCAAGAACAAAAACAUGAGAAACCAUAAAAUUCUUUCUUAAAAAAAUUAAUUUAAUAAGUUCAUAUCAGGCCGUCAAUUAAGAAAAGUAUCAAAAGUAAUAUCUAGUCCGCGAGCUAUGAUAUAGCUUAUGGGUUGAGCCUAACAUACUCAUUUAUUUCAAUUUAAAUCAUAAUUAAUUUUUAAAUUUUAAAUUAUACUAUCAUGAAAUUAUAAUAAAAAUAAAUUAUAUAUCGAUCAUUUUCAUAUCGAGAUAAAAUAAUAUAUUAAAAUAUUUUUAAUUUAUCUUUUAAAUAUUAUUAAUAUAAAAUAAUAUCAAUUAGUCCUUAAUUAACUUGAAUCCUAAUUCAAUCGAUCUAAUUGAAUUGGAUUUAAUUAUAACCUAGUCGAAUCGAUCAUUAAUUCUUAUUUAAUUGAUCUAAAACUAUCUUAGACUUAAUAUAUUUUAGAUUAUAUUAAGUUUAAUUUAUGUUAAAUAGAUUUAAAUUAAUUAAAUUAAUUUAGAGUCACCUUCAAUCGAUUUAAAUUUAUCAAAUUAGAUUUUGCUCAAUUCGAACACAAAUAAAAUAAAGUAAAGAUAAUAAGUUAGAUUGUAUAGUAAUAUGAUAUGUUAAUUUAGUCGAUGUACUUAUUGUAUAUGACUAUGCAUAUAUCAUACCUAACUCAUAGCCCAAGAACUAAUCAUUUGCACUACACAUCAAUGUUGAGUCGGAUUGAAUGACUAACUAGGCUUAGCCAGUUGAGUCAAAUCUAUGGGUUGUAGUUUAGCAUGUGGGUAGAGCCUGAUUUACUAAACGAAUUUCAACCAAAAUCAUAAUAUUUUUUUUAAUUUUAAAUUAUAACAUCAUUAAAUUAUAAUAAAAAUCUCAAACUAUUGCAAUUGAGUCAUUAAAACAUAAUAAAUAGUAAUAUAUUAAAAAUAUAUAAUUGCAUUAAAGGGAAAAUAAUAUUUUUACUCAACUAUUAGAUAAAUCUAAUAAAAAUUGAAUAUUACAACUAGUAUAAUGCAUGCAAGAUAAAAAUUUUCAAAAUUAUUAUAGUAAGAAUAAUUAUAAUAUAUUAAAUCUAAAAAUAAAAUUUUAAAUAUUUGGAUGAAUAUAAUAAAAUUUUAGAAACUAUAUAUAGCAUGAAUAAUAAAAAAAAUAAAAAAUAUUAAUUUUUAAAAAAAUAUAGAAACGCCUAACUCUAGUGAAAAACGCACCCCUAUUAAAUAAAAAGAGUCGAGCCUUCCAAGGUAAUUAAUAUUUUAAAUUUAUUUAAUUAUUUAAUAAAAAUAAUAUCACUUAACUUAAAAUAUUGAAUAUUUAUUUUAUAAAUUUUAUUCAUAAGAAAAGAAAGUAAAUAAUUGUACUUAAACUGAAAUAUUUAAGCACAGAUGAAACCUGUCAAAUUAGUAUUUUAAGAUCAUUUUAUCCAUAUUUUUUAUAUAAAUAAUUUAUUCGUAUAAUUUUGUUUUUCUUGUGCAUAGGGAAGGUUAUACACACUACGUAUAAGGAGAGUGGUUGUAAUUAGGGCGCCGCUGCGGCUGCACUCUUGUCCCACAAUGGCUGCUGCUCCGCUCCGCUCCGUACUCCAACGCCGCAAUGGCCUUCUGCCCUUAUUCGAAACCUGCCGCCUUCGAGAUCUCCUGUUCUUCUCCUCCUCUGUCGACCCUGCCGCCGCCGUAGGCGGCACCAUAUCUCCAGAUCCCCACUUCAUGGUGGAAUACCUCAUGAACUCUUGCGGGUUCUCCCCCUCCGAGGCAGCCAAGUUCUCUAAACCUCUUGCGCACCUCCGAUCCACCGAGAAACCCGACGCCGUCCUUAACUUCAUGAGAUCUCAGGGCCUCGGUGGCGCCGCUAUCAGGAAGGUGAUAUCUUCGGAACCCAAUUACCUGUGCCACAACGUGGAGACGAACAUCGCCCCGAAGUUUCAGUUCUUACGUGAUUCGGGCCUAUCGGAGUCGGAUAUCGUCGAUGUCAUCCUGAAGAACGUUGUUAUUCUGCACCUCCACGUUCACCGUUCCUUGGUCCCCAAAUUGGAGAUGUGGGAAAGUCUCUUGGGAUCGAGAGAGCUCGUUCUCAAGCAUCUCAAGAAGACCCGAUGGUUUUUCUUCUCCAGCGUUGAGAAGAAAUUGCAUCCUAACCUAAAGUUCUUGAGGGAUGAGUGCGGCAUUCCUGAAGAAAGGGUCUCUGUCGUCUUGAGAAGUCACCCACAAUUAAUCUCACAGAAACCAGAGUCACUCCGAGCUUUGGUUGCGAGAGCCGAUGAGCUGGGGAUGCCACGGCAAUCUCGGAUGUUCAUGUGGACACUUGUUGUUUUCCACAACGUAAGCCAAGAAAGGUUCGAGGCCAAGGUCGAGCUCAUGAGGAGCUUCGGGUGGUCGGAGUCGGAGUUUUCUUCUGCUGUCAGGAAAGCACCCACCUUCAUAGGCAUGUCCCUCGAUAUGUUGCGCAGAAAAGUGGAAUUUUUUAUCAGUGUGGUCGGUUACACCCCUUCCUUCAUCGCCUCCCAACCAACUAUCUUGCUAUAUGGUCUGCAGAAGAGGGUAAUUCCUCGGUUUCGUGUUUUGGAGAUGUUGAAUACGAAAGGCUUGGGGACUCGACGAGGCAAGUUUUUGUACUAUGUGAAAUUAUCAAAUACAAAAUUCCGGGAGAAGAUUGUUCUACCUUACAAAGAAAAUGUUCCUGAGCUUCUUGAUAUUUUGAGAGCAGGUGAGUGUGAAGGGAAAUGAGCCCUUUUAUUUGGUAUCAGAAGAGGAUGAGAAGGGCUUAGCUGAUGGUCUAACUCACAUUUGAAUUUCUCAACAGGAGCUGAGCAGUGAUUCGGCACCUUUUUCCUUGACAACAAGCUGUCUUACAUCAACCACUAGCCUUGGCUACUGAGUUGCAGUCCAGUGAAAGAAUUAUUCCUUUGGUGUCAUAUGGUAGUAAUGUUGUAAUUGGAAGGUCUAUGCAGUGCCCAACACAAAAUGUCUUCCAGUUUUACUCACUAAGGUUCAUGAAAAAGUCUGUUCUUUGUUGCAAAGCAGAAGUCCCUGGCCUGUUUGAAAUCUCUGAUAGAUGAAGGUAGAUUAUUCCCCUAGUUUGAGAUUCUGGAAAUAGAAUGCAAAUGGCUUCUCUAAAAGUCUAUUGAGGUGUGAGAUUCUUCUUAUGUGACAAGCUAGUUUAGCAUUGAUUAUAAACCAACUUUGUUUGUAUGUGACAAUGCAAAUGGCACAGUAUUGUUGGUUUGUAUGUGAACUGCAGGUUUUAGAAAUUCUGCUUAGCAGUCCAACGGAGAUUAUUUUGGAUCUUAGGAACAUUUGGAUUCUGUUUAAGUUGAUUCUGAACGGGUAUUUGGAUUCUGACAAAUGUAAUUCCGGAUCGGUUAUUGGUUGUUGGGUGAGUGUGAAAGAGCCAUGUUUCAGAUUAAGUUAUGCAGUAUGUAUACACCACCAAAGAUGACGAGAAGUUAAAUGGAGUAGUACUUGCUCUGAUGAUUUUAGUAGCUGAAAAAAAUUUAAACCCCAAAGUGUUGUUUCUAUAAUUUGUUGUAGGUGAGUUUUCAUCUUGUCAGUUGAGUUUCUAUGCAAACUUGCUCGUGUGCUAAUUGGAAGAUUUCAUUUAUGUUUCUGUUAUGUAUUGUGAUAUUUGCAUGCAGGGGCCUCAAUGGAAUUUGGAAGACCAGUUUUUGUGUUGAUCAGGAUUACCAUUGGCUUGGUACUCACCCAUUUCUUUUGCAUGUAAGAAGGUGUCACUUUGCUUGCAGGUUGAAUGGACUUCAGAGAAUCAAAACUUGUGUAUGUUAUACUGAAAUGCCUUCAUCCUCAUUGGAAUUGUUGAGUAUGCUAUCCUGAAAUGUCUUCAGUCUCACUGGAAUUGUAGAGUUUGCUAUCCUGAAAUGUCUUCAGCCUCAUUGGAAUUGUUGCCCAGGCAUUUCCUGCAUCACAACAAACUCUAACAUGCAAACUAAUUUAUACGCCUAAACAUUUUAAAAUUGACAACAAAAUGUGAAUUUCAAAUCUCUGUAAUUGUCUUUAGGAUUUCUUUUAGAGUUAAUGAUCAUUGCAUCAUAAGGUUUUAUGUCCCGCAUUUAGUGCAGAAAUGACUACUUAUGAUUGUGCAAACUAUCCUUACCCAUUCUCAGCUACUCUUGUUUCGGCCUCUCCAUGCAAUUGUGCAUAUUUUUAAUAUCACAAUUCAGAUAAGAUCAUAAGAAUAUUGAUCAUCUUUCUCAUAUGUAAAAUGUUUUCGGAAUCUUGAUAUCAGCUGUUCAUCUUUUGCAGCGAAUUUUGUGUAGCUGUGCAUGAAUUGUGGAACUGAUAGAACAAACAAGUGCAUCAAGAAUAUUGGAAGGUAUGCGAAAACUGCUUUUCUAAUUACAUUCUUGUUCCUGCCAUGCUUGUUUGUAGUGCUAUAGAGUAUGCUAUGAAUCUUGUCUCUUGCAAGCAAUCAUUGGAAUUGGUUCUUGGAUUCUUGUUCAUAGUUUUUGUUUAAUUUUUGAGUGUGUUAGUUUAUUUAAUCUGUUGCGAGUUUGGUAUAACAAGGUUUCAAAAUCAUUUGGUUAUUAUCUCAAUUCUCAAUGGGCAUAUCGAGACCCAUAAUCGGCCUAAAUUGGGCUUUCCCAUUGUGUAGACUUGCUCAAUAUUUUCUUACUUUUGUUCGUAAGGCCCAAUUGAACCCAUUACGGACCGUAUGCAGCCCGUUUCUCGUGCGUACACUCAACUGUGUAUCUUACUUUCUUUAAAUGUUUGUUAUAGAUUGCUCCUCAUGCAAUCAGGUAAGUGUGAUUUCUGUGAAUUCUUCAUCAAGUCUGCUGGUUUUUCUUCUUUCUUCCAAUUGUAAGUUAUGUAUCUGUUUUCAUUACACAACUAUGUGUAAGCAUAAUAUAGAUUGGAAGUUAAAUAUCUCUUGCAAUGGAUGCUAAUAUGUUACAUAAAUGUAGUUAAAUCCUUUGGGUCUCAAUGACAUUACAAAAGGCUUGUUGUAAGUGCAAUGCCUUUUGUGCCAUGGUGCAGGUGGGAGCUAAGCACAAUGAUAAUAUCUAUAUUAAGAUAAAGUGGAUGAGACAAAUGUGAAUUUUGUUGCUGGAUAUUUCAUGGUGGUCUAAUCAUAAGUGACAGAAGAUUGGAUGAAAGAAACAGAUUAAGAUUUGAGCCUAUGAGUGAUAAAAGGAAUUAGUAAAUGAUCUCUCUCAUGGAUUGCGUCAGAUAUCGAAUUUAUUUUGUGUCUAAGUCCUCAUCAUUAUUCCGACAUUUUUUUUUGUAAUCAAUGAUGAUUGUGGUUAACUAUUUAACUCUAUAUGUGUAAAAGAAUAUAUAUAUAUAUAUAUUAGCAUUUAUCUCUAUAUCCCUUGCUCCAAGAUCCUAGCUCCAAAAUAAAUUGGAUUGUUGGAUUGAUAAUAAUAAUAAUAGUCUAAAAUAAUAAUUAUAGAAGAUUGGAUUUUGGAAAUAAUUAUUACAUAAGUAAUUGGGAGGCAGUCAACCUCAUUCCUUUCAUGUUGUAGAACAGACCACUUCAAAACCAUUAAGAAGCUUCAUGUGUAAGAAUCUUCAUAUAAAGUCUAACGUGCAAACUAACAUGUAAGAUCAAAACGUUUAGAAGUGACAAUUAAAUGUGUAUUUCAAGAUUCGUUAAUUACCUUUUGCUCUUGUAGUAUAGUUUAUGAUCAUUUGCAUCACUAGUAUUUCAGAUUUAUGCACACUAUCUUCACUCAUUCCCAACUCGAUUUUUUUCUGCCUAGCCAUGUCUGAUAUGCGUUUUAUAUUUUGAUAUCAGUUGUUCCGUCUUUGCUGUGCAGGAGUUGUAGAACUGAUAGAACUUGCAAGUUCAUCAACAAUAUUGGGAAGAUACUCUUUUUUCUUUAUGACUGAACAAUAACGUCCCAAUUCUUUUUGUCAACACACGUAUGUCUCAAUUUUGGGAAGACUGACAUUAUUGAAAUGAAUAUAUGGAAGGAAGUGAGAAAAGUAGAAUUCAUGAAUUUAAAUAAGACAAGUAAUCUAAGCAAAAUCGUGCACUUAUUUCAUGUUAAUGAACCAAUGCAAUGUGAACAUAAAGCAUAAAAGGAUAGGAUACUUUCGGAUGCUCAGGAAGUUGGCAUGUAUAGAUUGAUUGUCUCCAGAUUGAAAAUGUGGCCUGCUAUAAUUAACAGGUGUUGUGAUAUAUAUAUAUAUAUAUAUAUAUCUUUGCAUCGAUUCUUGGAUAAUCUGUUCUUUUUUUACAUGAGGAUCAUCGAUAAUAGUCGAUCGGCGAGGAUUGCUAAUGUUUGGAUUGUCAAACAAACGAUAAGAUAGUGGAGGAUAAUUGAUGAGGUAAAAAUAUAAUGAAACGCAUAUAAAAGUACAGUAAAAAGCGAUGAUCGAUAGAAGAAAAUUGAAUAUUAAAAAAAUUAUUUUUUUUAAUUUAGGCAGUAUCAUAAGAAAAUUUGAAUGUAGAAGUUUUUUUUAAAAAAGAAUUCGUCGGAUGAUCAAAUCACUUUUCUCAUGUAAAGCGUGUUUUCUUAUGGAGAGACAAAAUUAUAUAAAUAUUUUGUCGAUCACUUUAUCCAUAUUUGUGAUAUAAAUACAUUAUUCCUGCAGUUUUGUAUUUCUUGUGCAUAGCGAAGCUUAUACACACUAUAUAUAGGAAUUAGGGUACCCCUUUCAGGUCAUUUUCCUCUCCCACGAUGGCGGCUGCGACGCUGCGCUCCGUACUCCGCCGCAAUCGCCUCCUUCCCUUGUUCGAAACCUGCCGCCUUCGAGAUCGCCUCUUCUUCUCCUCCUCUGUCGACGCUGCCGCCGUCACCGUAGGCGGCACCAUGUCUCCAGAUCCCCACUUCAUGGUGGAAUACCUCGUGAACUCCUGCGGGUUCUCCUCCUCCGAGGCAGCCAAGUUCUCUAAAUCCCUUGCGCACCUCCGAUCCACCGAGAAACCCGACGACGUCCUUAACUUCAUGAGAUCUCAGGGCUUCGACGGCGCCGGUAUCAGGAAGGUGAUAUCUGCGGAUCCCAGAUACUUAUGCUACAACGUGGAGAAGAACCUCGCCCCGAAGUUUCAGUUCUUACGCGAUUUGGGCCUAUCAGAGUCGGAUAUCGUCGAUGCCAUCCUGAAGAACAAUGGCAUCCUCCACUACAACGUUCACCGUUACUUGGUCCCCAAAUUGGAGAUGUGGGAAAGUCUCUUGGGAUCGAGAGAGCUCGUUCUCAAGCAUCUCAAGAAGACCCGAUGGUUUUUCUCCUCCAGCGUUGAGAAGACGUUGCAUCCUAACCUAAAGUUCUUGAGGGAUGAGUGCGGCAUUCCUGAAGAAAGGCUCUCUCUCGUCUUGAGAAGUCACCCAAAAUUAAUCUCACAGAAACCAGAGUCUCUCCGAGCUUUGGUUGCGAGAGCCGAUGAGCUGGGGAUGCCACGGCAAUCUCGGAUGUUCGUGCGGACACUUGUUGCUCUCCACAACGUAAGCCAAGAAAGGUUCGAGGCCAAGGUCGAGCUCAUGAGGAGCUUCGGGUGGUCGGAGUCGGAGUUUUCUUCUGCAGUCAGGAAAGCACCCACCUUCUUAGGCAUCUCCCUCGAUAUGUUUCGCAGAAAAGUGGAAUUUUUUAUCAAUGUGGUCGGUUACACCCCUUCCUUCAUCGCCUCCCAACCAUCUAUCUUGCUAUUUAGUCUGCAGAAGAGGGUAAUUCUUCGGUUUCGUGUCACAGAGAUGUUGAAAUCGAAAGGAUUGUGGACUGGACAAGCCAAGUUUCCAUACAUUCUCGCAUUAUCAGAUACCAAAUUCUUGGAGAAGUUUGUUCUCCCUCACGAAGAAAAUGUUCCUGAGCUGCUCGAUAUUUUGAGAGUUGAUGGCGUGUGUAAAGGAAAAUGAUACCUUUCAUUUGGUAUCGGAGGCUGAGAAAGGGCUUAGCUGAUGGUCUAAUUUGCCAACAAAGGUAGAUUAUUCCCCUAAUUUGAUAUUUGGGAAUUUUCUGAAAAGGGCUUAUCUAAAGGUCCAUUUAGGUGUGGGAUUUUUCUUUUAUGACAAGCUAGGUAGAUUAACAUUGAUUAUAAAUCAAAUUUUUUCUGUCUUGCUGAUUGCCUUUGGCAUAGUAUUGUUGGUUUGUCUGUAAACUGAAUGUUUUAGAAAUUCUACAUGACUGUCCAACUGAGAUGACCUUUGGAUCUAUUGUGGGGACUUUUGGAUUUUGUCCAAAUUAAUUUCAAUUCUGGAUUGGUUUUUGUUUGGGUAAGUCCUGAUGAGUCAUGUUUCAGAUCAAGUUAUGCAGUAUAUAGAAAAUAUCACCAAAGAUCACAAGAAAUUGUUGAGUGGUAAUUACUCUAAUGAUUUAACUGGCUGAAAAAAACUUAAACACCAAAGAGUUGUUUCUGUAAUUUGAUUUUAAAUGAGUCAUCACCCAAUUUAUGGAUUUGGAUAUAUCUAAGGUGUUAUCUCUUGUCAGUGGAGGCUUCUUUGCAAACUUAUUUAUUUAUGAACUAAUUGGAAUAUUCAAAUUUGAUUUAUGCAUUGUAAUAUUAGUAUGCAGUGGCUUCAAUGGGAUUUGAAAGACCAGUUGCACUGGGUUGAUAAGGAGUCACCAGCUUUAGUGCUAACUAUGCUCUCAUCAUCAUAGCUGAUGCUUCUGCUGUCCACCCUUUGUGAUUCCAGGUGCAGAUCUCUUCAUUCUUGGAGUUCAUUCUUGGAUUUGGUGGAUGCAACUUCUCAUCAUCAUAGCUGAAGCUUCUGGUCUACUUGAAAGCCUUCAGAAGGCUGCACAACUAAAUUUCUCCAACAUCUGAAUCGAACUAAUUCCCUUGAGUUAGUCGAUUCGCUGGUUCCUUCUUUUAUUUCUUUGUUCAAGUCUUUAUGUUGUCGAUGUGGUCCAUGUUUCCCGCAUCAUGAAAGGCGUGGGCCAUUGGCUAGUCAAUCUUGGAAGGACUGUAAAUUCUGUCUUUUUGGUUCUUGUAAUAAUAGAUCAAUCUAGCUCGGUAUCUAAUCCACUUUAAUCUUUAAUGAAAUUUCUCUUUUUUCGGUAAAAAAAGAAAAAAAACAAACUCUAACAUGCAAACUAACAUGUAAGCUCAGAAGGCUUAAAAGUGACAAUUAAAUGUGUAUUGCAAGAUUCUGUAAUUGGCUUUAGUUGUUGUUGUAGAGUUUAUGAUCAUUUACAUCACUAGUAUUUCUGAUUUUUAUGCACACUAUCUUGACCCGUUCUCAACCAGUAUUUUUCUGGCUAUCGAUGCCUUUUGUGCAUGUAUUCAGUAUCUCAUUUCAGAUAGGGUCAUAAGAUCAUCACUCAUCUUUAUCAAUGCGUGGAUUGUGUUAUUGAUUUUGAUAUCAGUUGUUCCAUCUUUAUUCUUUGUCUUGGAUAAUAACGUCCCAAAUCGUUAUGUCAACUCAAGUCUCAAUUUUGGUCAGACAGACAUUAAUGAAAUGAUUAUAUGGAAGGAACUUAGAAAAGUAGAAUUCAUAAAUUUAAAUAAGACGAGGAAUCAAAGCAAAAUUAUGCACUUAUAUAUCAUGUUAAUAAACCGAUACAACGUGAACAUACAACAACAUAUGCAUUUUCAAACAAGGAUUGGGUAUUUAUGGAUGAUCACGAAGUUGGAAUGUAUAGAUUGAUGUCUUCAUAUUGAAAUGUGGCCUGCUAUAAUUAACAAGUGUUAUUUUACAGAUAUAGUAUAUUGUUGUACAAUCAAUUUUAAUUAAAUAUCAUAUUAUCCAUCAUCAACUUCAAUCGAGCUUUUUUUUUUUGAAUUUUUACGAGUCAUAAAUACUAUUCAAAGCAUAUUAAUUUAAACACAAGAAAUCAUGUUUUGAACGAUCAUAAGAUUGUUUUUUUUUUAAUUCUGGUGCAACAAUAAAUUAUUUUUGGAUCAAAUAAAUGAAUAAUUUUAUAUCUUUAUAAAGAUACAAAAUCAUAUAAAUAUUUUGUAGAUCACUUUAUCCAUAAUUUUGAUAUAAAUAAUUUAUUACAGUAAUUUUUAUUCCUAUGCAUAUCGAAGGACAACUGUUUGAAUUAUGAUACCCGGAUGCUCUCCUUUAUCUAGUCACAAUGCUCGGCUCCUCCUUUCACCGUGAUAACCUUUUGUCAUUAUUCAAAUCCUAUCGUUCGAGGUCUCAUUUUCUUUUAUUUUAUCGUCGAUUGAUUAAGAUUAUGUUUAGAUCAAAUAAGUUAACAAGAAAAUGACGAUUGAGUUUUGCCUAACCGUAGGUGUUGUAUCGUAUACCAUAUGAAUUGAGUUAUAUUGAAUCAUAUGAGUUGAAUUAUACUUAACUAUAUGAAUUAUGUUAUACUUAGUCACAUGAGUUAGGUUAUGCUUGACUGCAUAGAUUGAUUUGAUCAAUCAACUUACAUUAAAUCAUUAUUUUAACUCAUAUUAUUAAAUUAUAUCAUGAUAUUUUUAAAAAAUAUUUUAAAAUAAUAAUUAACAUUAAAUCUAUUCUUUUUCAAGAAUUAACUAAUUUAGAUUCAUAAUUUUAAAUUUAAAACUAAUUAAAUUGUACAAAUUCAUACAUAAUUUUUUAAAACAUAAAUAUGUCUAAUUAAAUAAAUUAUUAUUAUUAUUAAAUUAACUAAUUAUUUUAACAUCAUAAUUUCAUAAUCAUUAUUUACUAAUCAUAAUAUUUUUAAAAUUAAAAUAUUAUUUUGCAUCAUAUUAAUUAAAACAAUUCUACUAUUAAAUAUUUUAAAAUAUAAAUAAAAAUGAUAAUAAAGAAAAUAAAGAAUCCUACGCGUCCUUGCAAUCAUGUCAUCAAAAUUUUUUUUUUUCUUAAUCCUUCGUCCAACUUCUAAGAGGGGAGAAUUACCGAGGAAUAGUAGAAGAUGAACUCUUCUCGAUAGAUAAAUAAUAUUUUUAUUUUACUUCGUACAAAAAUGGAUUGUAAUAUUAAUUUUACAUUGUCCACACACAAAAAUAAAAUUUAAAAUAUUUGCUUUUUAAGAAUCAUAUCAGAAAAUAAAUCAAUUAAUAAUUUAAUAAAUCGAUGAAAUUCUUAAUACCUCAUGAUGGAAUACCUCAUGAACUCUAAACCCCUUCGAGGCAGCCAAGGUCUGUAAACCCCUUGCGCACCUCCGAGCCAUCGAGAAACCCGACAUCGUCCCUAACUUCAUGAGAUCUCAGGGCUUCGACAACGCUGGUAUCAGGAAGGUGCUAUCUUCAAGACCCAAUUACUUUUGCUGCAACGUGGAGAAGAUCCUCGUCCCGAAGUUUUAAUUCUUACGCGAUUUAGGCCUAUCGGAGUCUGACAUCAUCGAUGUCAUCCGGAAUAACGAUGACUUCCUCUACCUCUAACCAUUACCAUUGUGUUAUUAAAACAUGAUAUUAACUUAAAAUGUUGAAUAUCUAUUUUAUAAAUUUUAUUCAUAAGAAAAAUUUAUCCAUAUUUUUGAUAUAAAUAAUUUAUUCCUAUAAUUUUGUAUUUCUUGUGCUUAGCGAAGGGUUAUACGGACUACAGAUGAAAGCGGGUUGUUUGUAUUAGGGUGCCGUUGCGUCAGCUCUCUUUCGUCCCACAAUGGCGGCUGCGACGCUCCGCUCCGUGCUCCGCCGCAAUAGCCUCCUGCCCUUGUUCGAAACUCACCGCCUUCGAGAUCUCUUCUACUUCUCCUCCUCUGUCGACCCUGCCGCCGCCGUAGGCGGCACCAUAUCUCCAGAUCCCCACUUCAUGGUGACAUACCUCGUGAACUCCUGCGGGUUCUCCCCCUCCGAGGUAGCCAAGUUCUCUUAACCUCUUGCGCACCUCCGAUCCACCGAGAAACCCGACGCCGUCCUUAACUUCAUGAGAUCUCAGGGCUUCGAUGGCGCCGGUAUCAGGAAGGUGAUAUCUGCGGAUCCCAGCUACUUACGCUGCAACGUGGAGAAAAACUUGGCCCCGAAGUUUCAGUUCUUACGCGAUUUGGGCCUAUCGGAGUCGGAUAUCGUCGAUGCCAUCCUGAAGAACCAGGCCAUCCUCCUUCACAACGUUCACCGUUCCUUCGUCCCCAAAUUGGAGAUGUGGGAAAGUCUCUUGUGAUCGAGAGAGCUCGUUCUCAAGCAUCUCAAGAAGACAACACGGUUUUUCUUCUACAGCGUUGAGAAGACAUUGCAUCCUAACCUAAAGUUCUUGCGGGAUGAGUGCGGCAUUCCUGAAGAAAGGGUCUCUGUCGUCUUGAUAAGUCACCCACAAUUAAUCACAAAUAAACCAAAGUCACUCCGAGCUUUGGUGGCGAGAGCCGAUGAGCUGGGGAUGCCACGGCAAUCUCGGAUGUUCGUGUGGACACUUGAUGUUCUCCAAAUGGUAAGCAAAAAAAGGUUCGAGGCCAAGUUCGAGCUCAUGAGGAGCUUCGGGUGGUCGGAGUCGGAGUUUUCUUCUGCAGUCAGGAAAGCACCCACCUUCUUACGCAUGUCCCUCGACAUGUUGCGCAGAAAAGUGGAAUUUUUUAUCAAUGUGGUCGGUUACACCCCUUCCUUCAUCGCCGACAAAUCAUAUCUCUUGCUAUAUGGUCUGCAGAAGAGGGUAAUUCCUCGGUUUCGUGUGACGGAAAUGUUGAAAUCGAAAGGAUUGUGGACUGGACAAUGCAAGUUUACAUCGAUUCUCGUUUUCUCAGAUACCAAAUUCAUGGAGAAGUUUGUUCUCCCACACAAAGAAAAUGUUCCUGAGCUGCUUGAUAUUUUGAGAGUUUCUGGCACCUGUAAAGGAAAUGAUACCUUGCAUUUGGCAUCGGAGGAUGAGGAAGGGCUUAGCUGAUGGUCUAAUUUGUGACGACGAAGGUAGAUUAUUUCCCUAAUUUGACAUUUGGGAAUUUUCUGCAAAGGGCUUAUCUAAAGGUCCAUUGUGGUGUGGGAAUUUUCUUUUAUGACAAGCUAGCUAGAUUAACAUUGAUUAUAAAUCAAAUUUGUUCUGUCUUACUGAUUGCUAGCUUAAAUUAUUUUCUGAUUGUCUUUGGCAUAGUAUUGUUGCUUUGUACGUUAGCUGCAUGUUUUAAAAAUUCUACAUAACAGUCCAACUGAGAUUACCUUUGGAUCUAUCGAAGGGACUUUUGGCUUUUGUCCAAAUUAAUUCCAAUUCCAGAUUGGUUUUUGUUUGGGUAAGUCUUGGAGAGUCAUAUUUCAGAUCAAGUUAUGCAGCAAGUAUAUACAAAAUAUCACCAAAGAUCACAGGAAGUUGCUGAGUAGUAGUUGCUCUAACGAUUUAAGUGGCUGAAAAACACUUAAACUUCUUUGCAAACUUAUGUAUUU
Molecule: long non-coding RNA, 21929 nt
Filed under: Musa acuminata (dwarf banana)
Lineage: Eukaryota; Viridiplantae; Streptophyta; Magnoliopsida; Zingiberales; Musaceae
Description: long non-coding RNA (MACU_LNC006183)
Source: RNAcentral